AUUGAACGCUGGCGGCAGGCCUAACACAUGCAAGUCGAGCGGUAGAGAGAAGCUUGCUUCUCUUGAGAGCGGCGGACGGGUGAGUAAUGCCUAGGAAUCUGCCUGGUAGUGGGGGAUAACGUUCGGAAACGGACGCUAAUACCGCAUACGUCCUACGGGAGAAAGCAGGGGACCUUCGGGCCUUGCGCUAUCAGAUGAGCCUAGGUCGGAUUAGCUAGUUGGUGAGGUAAUGGCUCACCAAGGCGACGAUCCGUAACUGGUCUGAGAGGAUGAUCAGUCACACUGGAACUGAGACACGGUCCAGACUCCUACGGGAGGCAGCAGUGGGGAAUAUUGGACAAUGGGCGAAAGCCUGAUCCAGCCAUGCCGCGUGUGUGAAGAAGGUCUUCGGAUUGUAAAGCACUUUAAGUUGGGAGGAAGGGCAGUAAAUUAAUACUUUGCUGUUUUGACGUACCGACAGAAU
RNAcentral lists this ribosomal RNA (463 nucleotides) under Pseudomonas sp. oral taxon D11. Its description in RNAcentral is "bacterial SSU rRNA". It matches the Rfam family "Bacterial small subunit ribosomal RNA", at positions 30 to 487 of the family's 1533-position model. Lineage: Bacteria; Pseudomonadati; Pseudomonadota; Gammaproteobacteria; Pseudomonadales; Pseudomonadaceae. The record is from RNAcentral.